CCCCCCUUAGCUCAGUUGGUCAGAGCGCGCGGCUGUAGACCGUGAGGUCCUCGGCUCAAAUGGGUUUUCCAUUUAGGAAAUAAUGGGUAUCCGAGAGGGGGGA
RNAcentral lists this transfer RNA (103 nucleotides) under Promethearchaeota archaeon. RNAcentral's name for it is "Candidatus Lokiarchaeota archaeon (permafrost metagenome) tRNA-Tyr". The record is from RNAcentral. Lineage: Archaea; Promethearchaeati; Promethearchaeota.